UAUUUUGCAUGUGACCUAUGCACGCAUGUGACUGCAUAAUUUUUCAUGUGUAUUAUUUAUUAGUAAUAGUAUGGUUUCUUGUGCAAUUUGGAAAAACAUACAGUCUUGUGAGUUUUUCAAAGACUUCAAAUUGCACGUGUCCUUCGGGCUCAUGCAAUUUUGAUCGUCUUUGAGACACGGCCCUAUGAAAAUCAUUAUCAAUUGAUACCUGGUUACCGUGUAUAAAUUAGAUAAUUAAAUACAAAUACUCAUGCAUGUUUUCCCAAAUUGUACUUGAAACCACACUACUAC
Molecule: non-coding RNA, 291 nt
Organism: Paramuricea clavata
Lineage: Eukaryota; Metazoa; Cnidaria; Anthozoa; Malacalcyonacea; Plexauridae
Source: the annotation of a GenBank genome assembly